UCUGUCUCAGAGGUAUUGCAGGCAUGGCUGCUUUGUCACAUGUGGAUCAGAAGGUGACAGAGAGAAGAGAGGCUAUGUCUAUGCUCAGUGUUCUCACCUAUGAACACCUGAAUGAUUACAAUAGCCUAACAUU
This is a small nucleolar RNA of Mastomys coucha (southern multimammate mouse), 133 nucleotides long. RefSeq annotates it as small nucleolar RNA SNORA17. Lineage: Eukaryota; Metazoa; Chordata; Mammalia; Rodentia; Muridae. The transcript has a single exon. The record is from RefSeq and is a predicted model, not a curated record.